This 84-nucleotide transfer RNA is filed under the name Gammaproteobacteria bacterium. Its description in RNAcentral is "tRNA-Leu". It matches the Rfam family "tRNA". Rfam says of the family: Transfer RNA (tRNA) molecules are approximately 80 nucleotides in length. RNAcentral also lists the same sequence under 1 other name. Lineage: Bacteria; Pseudomonadati; Pseudomonadota; Gammaproteobacteria. The record is from RNAcentral.
GCCGGGAUGGCGGAAUUGGUAGACGCGCCGGAUUCAAAAUCCGGUGGGGUUAAACCCGUGAGAGUUCGAGUCUCUCUCUCGGCA